This 500-nucleotide ribosomal RNA is filed under the name uncultured bacterium. Its description in RNAcentral is "partial 16S ribosomal RNA". It matches the Rfam family "Bacterial small subunit ribosomal RNA", at positions 30 to 523 of the family's 1533-position model. The record is from RNAcentral.
AUUGAACGCUGGCGGAAUGCUUUACACAUGCAAGUCGAACGGCAGCACGGACUUCGGUCUGGUGGCGAGUGGCGAACGGGUGAGUAAUGUAUCGGAACGUGCCCAGUCGUGGGGGAUAACGUAGGGAAAAUUACGCUAAUACCGCAUACGAUCCAUGGAUGAAAGCGGGGGAUCGCAAGACCUCGCGCGAUUGGAGCGGCCGAUAUCAGAUUAGGUAGUUGGUGGGGUAAAGGCCCACCAAGCCAACGAUCUGUAGCUGGUCUGAGAGGACGACCAGCCACACUGGAACUGAGACACGGUCCAGACUCCUACGGGAGGCAGCAGUGGGGAAUUUUGGACAAUGGGCGAAAGCCUGAUCCAACCAUUCCGCGUGCAGGAUGAAGGCCCUCGGGUUGUAAACUGCUUUUGUACAGAACGAAAAGGUUUCUACUAAUACUAGGAGCUCAUGACGGUACUGUAAGAAUAAGCACCGGCUAACUACGUGCCAGCCGCCGCCGUAA